Molecule: ribosomal RNA, 885 nt
Filed under: uncultured bacterium
Lineage: Bacteria
Description: bacterial SSU rRNA
Rfam family: Bacterial small subunit ribosomal RNA
Source: RNAcentral
AGAGUUUGAUCCUGGCUCAGGACGAACGCUGGCGGCGUGCCUAAUACAUGCAAGUCGAGCGAGCUUGCCUAGAUGAUUUUAGUGCUUGCACUAAAUGAAACUAGAUACAAGCGAGCGGCGGACGGGUGAGUAACACGUGGGUAACCUGCCCAAGAGACUGGGAUAACACCUGGAAACAGAUGCUAAUACCGGAUAACAACACUAGACGCAUGUCUAGAGUUUGAAAGAUGGUUCUGCUAUCACUCUUGGAUGGACCUGCGGUGCAUUAGCUAGUUGGUAAGGUAACGGCUUACCAAGGCAAUGAUGCAUAGCCGAGUUGAGAGACUGAUCGGCCACAUUGGGACUGAGACACGGCCCAAACUCCUACGGGAGGCAGCAGUAGGGAAUCUUCCACAAUGGACGAAAGUCUGAUGGAGCAACGCCGCGUGAGUGAAGAAGGGUUUCGGCUCGUAAAGCUCUGUUGGUAGUGAAGAAAGAUAGAGGUAGUAACUGGCCUUUAUUUGACGGUAAUUACUUAGAAAGUCACGGCUAACUACGUGCCAGCAGCCGCGGUAAUACGUAGGUGGCAAGCGUUGUCCGGAUUUAUUGGGCGUAAAGCGAGUGCAGGCGGUUCAAUAAGUCUGAUGUGAAAGCCUUCGGCUCAACCGGAGAAUUGCAUCAGAAACUGUUGAACUUGAGUGCAGAAGAGGAGAGUGGAACUCCAUGUGUAGCGGUGGAAUGCGUAGAUAUAUGGAAGAACACCAGUGGCGAAGGCGGCUCUCUGGUCUGCAACUGGCGCUGAGGCUCGAAAGCAUGGGUAGCGAACAGGAUUAGAUACCCUGGUAGUCCAUGCCGUAAACGAUGAGUGCUAAGGGUUGGGAGGUUUCCCCCCCUCCAGUGCUGCAG